RNAcentral lists this ribosomal RNA (442 nucleotides) under uncultured bacterium. Its description in RNAcentral is "bacterial SSU rRNA". It matches the Rfam family "Bacterial small subunit ribosomal RNA", at positions 354 to 796 of the family's 1533-position model. The record is from RNAcentral.
GUGGGGAAUAUUGCACAAUGGGCGCAAGCUUGAUGCAGCGACGCCGCGUGAGGGAUGACGGCUUUCGGGUUGUAAACCUCUUUCGAUGGGGAACAAGGCCACAUUUUUGUGUGGUUGAGGGUACCUGUAUAAGAAGCGCCGGCUAACUACGUGCCAGCAGCCGCGGUAAUACGUAGGGCGCGAGCGUUGUCCGGAAUUAUUGGGCGUAAAGAGCUCGUAGGCGGCUUGUCGCGUCUGCUGUGAAAACGCGGGGCUUAACUCCGCGCUUGCAGUGGGUACGGGCAGGCUUGAGUGUAGUAGGGGAGACUGGAAUUCCUGGUGUAGCGGUGGAAUGCGCAGAUAUCAGGAGGAACACCGAUGGCGAAGGCAGGUCUCUGGGCUAUUACUGACGCUGAGGAGCGAAAGCAUGGGGAGCGAACAGGAUUAGAAACCCGAGUAGUCC